Molecule: long non-coding RNA, 205 nt
Filed under: Mytilus galloprovincialis (Mediterranean mussel)
Lineage: Eukaryota; Metazoa; Mollusca; Bivalvia; Mytilida; Mytilidae
Source: RNAcentral
AUCUUUCAUUAACUGCGGAAUAUCUUUUUGUUUGAUAGACAGGUCGACAAUUUACCCAUCUGCUAGGAUCAAGAAAAUAAUUAGUUUGCUAUCAGAAAUACACAUGAGUGACUUUGAAUUUAGAAGAAUGGGACAAUGAAUAAUAAUAUGUCCACAUUCACCAAUUUAUCAAUAAUGCCUAAUCCCCAACAUUAUUUUACUGAAG